Molecule: long non-coding RNA, 1813 nt
Organism: Saccostrea cuccullata (small rock oyster)
Lineage: Eukaryota; Metazoa; Mollusca; Bivalvia; Ostreida; Ostreidae
Exons: 3
Source: RefSeq, a predicted model, not a curated record
AAUCAGUCGUAAUAUGGGUGGCUAAAAAGAUAAACAGCAGCAUAGAGUAUGUGCAUGUUCAUGUUGAACAGAUAUUACGAUGUUGUGAAUAAAGACUGCCACUUAUAUUAAGAUUUAAGCAGAUGACUAGUACAUGUAGAUUUUAUUGUUUGCAUAAUUAAAUAACACAGUUAUAAUAGUUAUUUUCACAAAUAAACAAAUAUUAAAUUCAAAAUGGCGGCAAAUAUGGCGGCCGCCGGCCUCCGAUGUCCGUUUUGUUGAUACUAAGAUAAAUUCAAAAUUUUAACACCAACUGGUAUUUAUAUUUUUAAUUUAAGGUUGAAAUUACACAAUUAGGUUUAUUUGCAUUUAAAAUAAAUUAAUAAUGAAUUAUUUAUUUAUUUUUUUCGAUCACGUGACGUUUUUGAGUUCUAUGAUUGGUCAAUAACAGAGCGCGGAUUUUUCCAUGGACGAUUUGAAUGUUUGGAUGUUGAAAGUGUUGAUAGAAAAAAAGGAGAUAAAACCAGUUGCAGAAUAUUGGUACAUGAUGUUUCCAUGAGCUGAAUCUGUCCUGCCCUGGAGUACAUGAAAUUCUUCACAAUAUUACUUGUUUAAGAAUUGAAGAAAAGGUUAAAAUUGCAAGCAUAUUUCAACGAAAACUUAGCCGACUACCAGUCACACUGCCCACCAGCCAAGACGUCUGACCAGCUAAAAUGAGGGAUGCAGUCCACCAGCCAAGUCCCUCGGCCAGCUCGGCUGACCCAGUGCGGCCUGUCAAGGGAUGACCAAGUCCAUCAACUAGCUCGGCUGACUACCAGUGCAGCCUGUCAAGUCCUUCAACUAACUUGGCCUAUUACCAGUGCGGCCUGUCAUUGAACAACUAAGUCCAUCAACUAGAUUGGCUUACUAUCAGAGCUGCUUUUCAAGGGAUGGUCAAGUCCGUCAACUAACUUAACCUACUACCAGUGCCGCAUGUCAAGAGAUGGCCAAGUUCGUCUCGGCUUACUACCAGUACGGCCUGUCAAUAUAGGGACGGUUAAGACCAUUGACUAACUUGGCCGUCUACCAGUGCGGCUUGUCAAGGGACGUUUAAGUCCGUCAACUAACUUGACCAACUACAGAUGCGACCUGUCAAGGGAUGGCCAAGUCCGUCAACUAUCUUGACCAACUACCAGUGCGGCCUGUCAAACGAUGGCCAAGUCCUUCAACUAACUUGGCCUACUACCAGUGUGGCCUGUCAAACGAUGGCUAAGUCUGUCAGCUAACUUGGUAUACUACCAGUGCGGCCUGUCAAACGAUGGCCAAGUCCUUCAACUAACUUGGUCUACUACCAGUGCGGCCUGUCAAACGAUGGCUAAGUCUGUCAGCUAACUCAGCCAACUUUCAGUGCAGCUUAUCUUCAAAUAAUAAAGAUAAACAACUGUACACCUGCAAGGAUACCUGUGCAAGGAGGGUGGUAUGCAGCUAGAAACUGUGACUGAAAUCACUGUUUAUAGAAACUUUCUUUUUUUUUUGAAAUACAGCUAGAUCAAAAAUAAAUAGGGUGUUAAUAUUUAAAAAUUAGUGAUGCCUGUUUAUACAAUUAGCAAGAGUAGAAUGCAGUUUGCUAGGUAAUUUUACAAAGACCCUAAUUGCUAUAUGCUAAAAAUGUAUUCUUUAAAACAACCAGAGAAAUUUCAAUCUGUUGUAGAUGACAUGAUGUAAAAUAAGGUACACUUGAAUUUUUAAAACAAUUGCAUGUGCAUUCAUUUAGUUGUAUUUGACAAUAAACCAAGCUAUCUUUAUCGUGUUUGUUAGGUAAAAUUGUUAUUGCCUUUAAUAUGUUUUAAAUAAU